This 120-nucleotide ribosomal RNA is filed under the name uncultured bacterium. RNAcentral describes it as "partial 16S ribosomal RNA". It matches the Rfam family "Bacterial small subunit ribosomal RNA", at positions 1384 to 1500 of the family's 1533-position model. The record is from RNAcentral.
UACACACCGCCCGUCACACCACGAAAGUUUGUUGUACCUGAAGUCGUUGACGCCAACCGCAAGGAGGCAGACGCCCACGGUAUGACCGAUGAUUGGGGGUGAAGUCGUAAACAAGGUACC